Molecule: ribosomal RNA, 253 nt
Filed under: uncultured bacterium
Lineage: Bacteria
Description: partial 16S ribosomal RNA
Rfam family: Bacterial small subunit ribosomal RNA
Source: RNAcentral
UACGUAGGUGGCAAGCGUUAUCCGGAUUUACUGGGUGUAAAGGGCGAGUAGGCGGGAUUGCAAGUCAGAUGUGAAAACUAUGGGCUCAACCGAUAGAGUGCAUUUGAAACUGCAGUUCUUGAGUGAUGGAGAGGCAGGCGGAAUUCCUGGUGUAGCGGUGGAAUGCGUAGAUAUCGGGAGGAACACCAGUGGCGAAGGCGGCCUGCUGGACAUUAACUGACGCUGAGGCGCGAAAGCGUGGGGAGCAAACAGG